AUGCCGGUCACGCAAGCGCCGGGGCGGAGCACGGGGCCAGUGAGCGUGGCGCGGCGCGAGCUGAGCAGCCACGCGUGGUCGCUGUCGUCGCCCGCCAGCCCGCAGCCGCGCUACGGGAGCAUCGUCACCGUGCUGAGCAUCGACGGCGGCGGCGUCCGGGGGAUCAUCCCCGGCACCAUCCUCGCUUUCCUCGAAGAAAAGCUCCAGGAGCUUGAUGGGCCGGACGUGAGGAUCGCGGAUUACUUCGACGUGGUAGCCGGGACGAGCACUGGAGGCCUGGUGGCCGCCAUGCUCACCGCGCCCAACGCCGAGGGCCGCCCGCUCUUCGCCGCCAAGGACGUCAACAAGUUUUACCUCGAGCACUGCCCGAAUAUCUUCCCUGCCGUCUGCAAAGGACCUCUGGGCUGGCUCAAGAGCAUGAUGGGGCCCAAGUACAGCGGCCACCACCUGCACAAGGUCGUGAAGGAGCUGCUCGGAGACACGCGCGUCAAUGAGACGCUCAAGAACAUCGUCAUCCCCACUUUUGACAUCAAGCUCCUCCAGCCUACCAUCUUCUCAACCUACGACGCCAUGAGGGAUGUCUCCAAGAAUGCUCUUCUGUCGGAUGUCUGCAUUAGCACGUCGGCCGCGCCGACCUACCUCCCCGGCCACCAUUUCGAGAGCAAGGACAAAGACGGCAAGACCCGGGCUUUCAACCUGAUCGACGGAGGCGUCGUCGCUAACAAUCCGACGUUGUUGGCGAUGACCCACGUUAGCAAGCAGAUCCUGAUGGGAAACCAGGACUUCUUGCCCAUCAAGCAUGCGGGUUACGGCAAGUUCAUGAUCCUUUCAUUGGGCACAGGCACCGCCAAGAUCGAAGAGAAGUUUGAUGCGGCUGAGUGCGGCAAGUGGGGCCUUCUCGGGUGGCUCUACAAGAGGGGUGCCACGCCGAUCAUUGAUAGCUUCAGCGAAGCUAGUACCGACCUCGUCGACAUUCAAGCAUCCGUGCUCUUUCAGGUCCUGGGCUGCAACAAGAGCUAUCUCCGGAUCCAACACGACGAGCUCACUGGUGAAAUGGCCUCCGUCGACGUGUCCACAUCAAAGAACCUCAACGGGCUCAUUAGUGUCGGCAAAGCAUUGCUGAAGAGACAGGUGUGCAAAGUGAACGUCGAGACAGGCAAGAACGAGCCCGAUCUAGAGAGGGGCACGAACGAGCAGGAACUGGCCCGUUUCGCCCGCAUGCUGUCGGAAGAGCGCAAAGCUCGGAAGGAGGCCUACAAACUUGUGUAG
This 1269-nucleotide ribosomal RNA is filed under the name Triticum aestivum (bread wheat). Its description in RNAcentral is "partial small subunit ribosomal RNA". The record is from RNAcentral. Lineage: Eukaryota; Viridiplantae; Streptophyta; Magnoliopsida; Poales; Poaceae.